CAAGCUUGAAAAAUGCUUAGCAUGUGCCAUUUCCUUUUAAUAAAAUACUGUCAUGGGUUUGGAAUGGCAUAAGGAACAUCAACCAUAACAGACAUUAUGAUGAUUUAGGCUCCUGGAUUUGGAUUUGUGUGUUUAUGUUGUCAUAUACACCCAUGAAUCCCAUAUGCUGUGAAACAUGCUAACCUUCACACUGCAGUUGCUGAACAACAGCUAGAGCUUUCCUCUGCAGCAUCUUCCUCCUUCAGACCACACACAUGACCGCACUAUAAUCAGUGUUUGGAAUGCAGUCGAUCGCAGCACUUGAGAUUAGAAUCAGACAACUGCACUUGGUUUGUUAUGCAGAAUGCAGUGUUUGUAGGUCUGGCCAUUUGGGAAAUGUCAAUUUCAAAGCUGGAGUGUCUUGUGGUGAAAGAA
Long non-coding RNA from Carassius carassius (crucian carp), 414 nucleotides. RefSeq lists it as uncharacterized. NCBI's taxonomy places the organism in Eukaryota, Metazoa, Chordata, Actinopteri, Cypriniformes, Cyprinidae. The record is from RefSeq and is a predicted model, not a curated record. The transcript has 2 exons.